Molecule: long non-coding RNA, 227 nt
Filed under: Ricinus communis (castor bean)
Lineage: Eukaryota; Viridiplantae; Streptophyta; Magnoliopsida; Malpighiales; Euphorbiaceae
Description: long non-coding RNA (RCOM_LNC000976)
Source: RNAcentral
AAACUCGUGUGUACCUUUGUUUUUUUCUUUUUGUAUAAAAUUUUACUAAGUGUAAUAACUUAGUAAUCCUUAGAAUUGGGUAAAUUUUCAUGCCUGAGUAUCUUCUUUAUUAUUUCUUCACGCCUAAGUAUAAUAACUCAUUAUGCUGAUAAUGUGCUUCAAUACUUUAAAUAGAACUCAGUGUGCCUAAAUUGGCAUCUUUAGAAGAAUGCACUAAUAAUGUGCUA